GGAUGGCCCUUCCUUCCGUCUCAGCUCCAAACUUUGUCUCUGUAACUCACUCCAUGGGUAUUUUGUUCCCCAUUCUAAGGAGGAACGAAGUAUCCACACUUUGGUCUUCCUUCUUCUUGAGUUUGAUGUGUUUUGCAAAUUGUAUCUUGGGUAUUCUAAGUUUCUGGGCUAAUGUCCACAUAUCAGUGAGUGCAUAUCAUGUGAGUUCUUUUGUGAUUGGGUUACCUCACUAAGGAUGAUAUCCUCCAGAUCCAUCCAUUUGCCUAAGAAUUUCAUAAAUUUAUUGCUUUAAUGAAAGCAUUCCUAAGAGGAAAACUCAUAGCUUUGAGUGCCUCCAAAAAGAAACUAGAGAGAGCAUACAUUAGCAGCUUGACAGCACACCUAAAAAUUCUAGAACAAAAGGAAGCAAAUUCACCCAAGAGGAGUACACUGCAGGAAAUAAUCAAACUCAGGGCUGAAAUCAACCAAGUGGAAACAAAAAAAACUAUACAAAGAAUCAUCCAAACCAGGAGCUGGUUCUUUGAGAAAAUCAACAAGAUAGAUAAACCCUUAGCCAGACUAACUAGAGGGCACAGGGACAGUAUCUUAAUUAACAAAAUCAGAAAUGAACAGGGAGACAUAACAGAAACCAUGGAAAUUUAAAAAAUCAUCAGAUCCUACUACAAAAUCUUAUACUCAAAAAGAUUGGAAAAUCUGGAUGCAAUGGACAAUUUUCUAGACAGAUACCAGGUGCCAAAGUUAAAACAGGAUCAGAUAAACCAUCUAAACAGAUCCAUUACCUCCUAAAGAAAGAGAAGCAGUCAUUAAUAGUCUCCCAACCAAAAAAAGCUCAGGACCAGAUGGGUUUAGUGCAGAGUUCUAUUAGACCUUCAAAGAAGACCUAAUUCCAAUUCUCCUCAAACUAUUCCACAAAAUAGAAACAGAAAAUACUCUACCCUAUUCAUUCUAUAAAGUCUUUUUCUAAAUUGUAAAGGUUUGGCCUUGAUUCAUUUAUUUAAUAAAUAUGUAAUAUUCAUAAUAAUUCAUAACAUUAGCUCAUUGUUUAGUGCUAUGUAAAACCAUAAUAAACAUGUUAUAUAUAUUAAAUCUAUUGAUUUUAAGAACAAUUUUUCUGGUAUUAGUACAAUUAUUAUUCAUGGUAUAAUGAUGAGAAUAUCAAAGUAUAAGAAGUUAUCUAUUUACACAGACUGAAAUAAGAAGACCUAAGAUUUGGAUUUGAGUUCAAGCAUUUAAACUCCAGACUUGACAUUGGUUUUUAUUAUUGUCUGUUUUGUUUUGUUUUUUGGGUUUUUUUCCUCUGUUUGUUUUAAGGUAAGGUCUCUCUGUAGCUUUGGCUGUCUUGGAAUUUUCUUUUUUUUUUAAUUUUUAUUGAUUCUUUGUGAGUUCUAUAUCAUGCAUCCCAGUCUCGCUCAUCUCUCCAUCCCCUCAUAUCUGCCAUUUGCCCUUGCAACCUUCCCCCUACCCC
Molecule: long non-coding RNA, 1465 nt
Filed under: Mus musculus (house mouse)
Lineage: Eukaryota; Metazoa; Chordata; Mammalia; Rodentia; Muridae
Description: long non-coding RNA chr9:59890251-59891716
Source: RNAcentral